GCGGCGUGCCUCAGACAUGCAAGUCGAACGCGAAAGUCCCCUUCGGGGGAUAAGUAGAGUGGCGCACGGGUGAGUAACACGUAGGUAAUCUACCUUCGGGUGGGGAAUAACCCAGGGAAACUUGGGCUAACACCGCAUAAUGCAGCGGCACCACAUGGUGACAGUUGUUAAAGCGGGGGAUCUUAGGACCUCGCGCCUGAAGAGGAGCCUGCGGCGGAUUAGCUAGUUGGUGAGGUAACGGCUCACCAAGGUGACGAUCCGUAGCCGGCCUGAGAGGGCGGUCGGCCACACUGACACUGACAUACGGGUCAGACUCCUACGGGAGGCAGCAGUCGGGAAUUUUGGGCAAUGGGCGAAAGCCUGACCCAGCAACGCCGCGUGAAGGAUGAAAUCCCUCGGGAUGUAAACUUCGCAAGAAUGGGAAGAAUUAGUAGGGGUCAAUACCCCCUAUGAUGACGGUACCAUUUGUAAGCUCCGGCUAACUCCGUGCCAGCAGCCGCGGUAAUACGGGGGGAGCAAGCGUUGUUCGGAUUUACUGGGCGUAAAGGGCGCGU
Molecule: ribosomal RNA, 554 nt
Filed under: uncultured Acidobacteriota bacterium
Lineage: Bacteria; Pseudomonadati; Acidobacteriota
Description: bacterial SSU rRNA
Rfam family: Bacterial small subunit ribosomal RNA
Source: RNAcentral